Molecule: ribosomal RNA, 253 nt
Filed under: uncultured bacterium
Lineage: Bacteria
Description: partial 16S ribosomal RNA
Rfam family: Bacterial small subunit ribosomal RNA
Source: RNAcentral
UACAGAGGGUGCGAGCGUUGUUCGGAAUUAUUGGGCGUAAAGCGCACGUAGGCGGUUCGUUAAGUCGGAUGUGAAAGCCCUCGGCUCAACUGAGGAAGUGCACCCGAAACUGGCGAGCUUGAGUACGAAAGAGGAUCGCGGAAUUCCCGGUGUAGAGGUGAAAUUCGUAGAUAUCGGGAGGAACACCGGUGGCGAAGGCGGCGAUCUGGGUCGAUACUGACGCUGAGGUGCGAAAGCGUGGGGAGCAAACAGG